This 515-nucleotide ribosomal RNA is filed under the name Dictyocoela sp. 43 JEI-2011. RNAcentral's name for it is "SSU rRNA". It matches the Rfam family "Microsporidia small subunit ribosomal RNA", at positions 269 to 778 of the family's 1311-position model. Lineage: Eukaryota; Fungi; Microsporidia. The record is from RNAcentral.
CCAGGACCAAGGUCAGCAGCAGGCGCGAAAAUUAUCGAAGCCCGCCUAGGGGCGAUAGUGAGGAGACGUGUAUAACGAAGUACGUGUAAAGAACGUGCUAAUAACUGGAGGUCAAGUCUGGUGCCAGCAUCCGCGGUAAUUCCAGCUCCAGGGGUGUCUAUGAUGAUUGCUGCGAUUAAAAAGUCCGUAGUCAAUCUGACUGACUGACCUGCAAUGUGAUUGAUUAAAGAACGAGCAGGGUUAGGAAAGCAGAGAAUUAGGAGCGACCGAGGGCUAGAGUAUUGAAUGGCGAGAGGUGAAAUUUGAUGACCCAUUCAGGAGUGACAAAGGCGAAGGCACUAGUCAAGGGCGAAUCCGAUGAUCAAGGACGUAGGCUAGAGUUUCGAAAACGAUUAAAAGCCGGAGGAAUUUUAACCAUUAAAUAAUCCGGCCCCGGGAAAAAGUUUUUUGUGGUUGUAUUGCGGAAGAGAAAUCAAGUAAGGCUUUGGGGAGAGUACGCGCGCAAGCGAUAAAUU